RNAcentral lists this unclassified non-coding RNA (407 nucleotides) under Hevea brasiliensis (rubber tree). The record is from RNAcentral. Lineage: Eukaryota; Viridiplantae; Streptophyta; Magnoliopsida; Malpighiales; Euphorbiaceae.
GUUCGUGAGUUGGGAGGCUGAGCCACACCCAAUUGCUGAAUCAUAUGUUAAGCCAAUGCUCAUGAUUGAAACAUCCAUCGGACAAUCAGCAAUAAAUCUGAGCCGUCAUGAUUCGUCUGUUUCUAUACAUAGUGCGACUGUUAUCCCCCCACCAUCAACUGCAAGGUCAGUCUCGAUGAGAGAUAUGGGCACCGAAAUGACUCCAAUUGCAAGCCAGGAACCUUCCAGAACUGGGACACCUGUGAGAGCAACUACACCUACUCGCAGCCCAACUUCUUCUCGGCCAUCAACUCCGGGAGCUGCACCAGCUUCCUCACCUUUUCGUCCUUCAAAUGAUAAUUUGGAUGCUCAUACAAAUGCAUUGUCUGACCAGGAAUUACAGUUGAAAACUCGAAGAGAAAUCAUGG